Long non-coding RNA from Pogona vitticeps (central bearded dragon), 2124 nucleotides. Lineage: Eukaryota; Metazoa; Chordata; Lepidosauria; Squamata; Agamidae. The record is from Ensembl.
UGUGCUUUUGGUACCAGCUCGGAUGCAGAAGAGCCCCCCACUUGGACGUCUGUCAUCCGCUUUCCAAGUUAUAUUAUUAGGUUCCUUCGCCCCUCCUUCCUCCGGCUCAGAGCUGUGCAGAUUAAAGCCGGUUGAGGGGUGGGGAAGCGAAUCCUCCUCCAUAUCCUGAUACCAUCUUUAGUGUCCUCUGGAGACUUCCUCUGGGGGGGGAGAAGGAGUGGGCUUUCAAGGCCAUCUGGAGCUGGCAUUAGUCAGAGCCCCCGGAGAAUUCAGCCAGGAUGCAGAGUCUGGCAUGGACCUUUUCCGACGGUCAGGAUUGGAUUUUGUAGGUCACCGGCUUCCAAACUGCAAGACUGUUUUUUCUUUGUUUCCUACGCCAACCACACAGAUUCGGGCAGCCCUGAGAAGAGGCGAAUAUAAAACCUGAAGGGUUAAAAAUAAAGAACUUAUGCUGGUACAGUACUUGUCACAGCAGAGCUGUCUCNNNNNNNNNNNNNNNNNNNNNNNNNNNNNNNNNGGUGGGCCCUGGGGGGGGGGGUUGGAGUCCCGUAUGAUGUCACAGAGGUGAGGCAGGUAUUUCAGGAUGAGGAAUGGAGGGGGGAGAGACCAUUCCUGCAGACGGGGAAAGAGCAAAUGGGGACCUCUUUGGGAAGUGUGUGUUCAGUGUCCACAGCAUUCCUUCUGGCAGAAUGAUUCGCCCACCUCCUGCCUGGGAGGCAUAAGAGAAAGUGAUGCAGGAGGCAGCUCUGGAGAAUUUUAGCAGGGACAUCAGGAAACAGAGAAAGCCAAGCAGGGUGCAUGUGUGUGUGUGCGUGUGUUCAUGAAAGGCCCAUCACUUGCUUUUUUGAACUGCUUUUUUCACCCCGGGGUGUCCCCGCUCUCAACAGCAGCCUGCUGGUGGCCGGUUCCUUCCUGCUGAGCCAAAAACCAAGGAGGCAGAAGACAAAGAGGAGGAUGGGAGAAGAAGCUGGGAGACACAUCUGGGGCAAGCGCCACAGCUGCCAGGACUUCCACUCCCAGCUCCAGGAAGAUGGGCUGCAUUUCCUCUCGCUGACCUUCCUCCGAGUCCCACCACUGUCCUCGCCUCCUUUUCCGGCGAAAGUCACAGUCCCCUGAAAUGCCUUCCGGCUUCAUCUCUUUGCCGGCCGGCCAGGAUGCAAAUAGCAUUUAGAGAAGCAGGAGGGGGGCCAGGAAAUGAAGAUCUGUCCUGGCUUAGAUCCAGGCUCAAGGCAGGGCAGGAUUUGAGCAGAAGUGAGAGAGAAUCGGAGGGGAGGUGGAAUGGAGGGAUCAGGAUUCCUGUCCAGCAGAAGAAGACACCACCGGGAAGGGUCACAGAAGGUUCAAAGUGCUCAGUAAAAGGUCUGGAGCAGAACCUAGAAAGGUUGCACGAAGGACGACCGUCCCCAGCGUUCUCCAGCCAGCAUGGCAAAAGGCCUUGUUUUGACGCAUGACGACGACCCACCAAAGGGUCCUCUCCCGGUUAAUGCAACGUGCCAGUACAUAGCUGUAGUUUUAGUGGUUGUGUUAAUCUGUGCUAGCAUGUCAGGGAGGCAAAAGCAAAACACAAAUUAAAACAGAGAAGACGAAAACGGUGUGGCACCUUGGAGACUAACUGCUGUCUUUUAAUACAGCAUUCUGUCUCUUCAUGUCUGAUGAAGUGGACGUGUCCACGAAAGCUCACAUUAAAAUAUAAGGGUUGGUCUUUAAGGUGUCGCGUGUUUUGCUUCAUUUCUUUGGAUUUUGCCUGGAGAUGCCAUAUUUUGAUGUGAGCUUUGGUGGCCUUGUCUGAAGAAGUGGAGUUAUUAUUUGAAUUUAAUUAUACUGCUCUCAUUUGUGCUGCAGCACAUCAUAUAUUGUUUAAUUUAUCUUUUAAUAUUUAACUUACUGUGUUUUUAAAUUGUGUGAAUUUUAAUGCUGUGAGCCAUUUCGGGUCCCUUGUUGGGAAAAAUGCAGCCCAUUAACAACAACAACAACAACAACAACAACAACAACAACAACAACAACAACAACAACAACAACAACAACAACAACAACAACAACAACAACAACAACAACAAUCUGUGGACUUGUCCAUGAAAGCUCACAUUAAAUAAAGCAGUUAAGACUUUUAACGGUGUGAUGUGA